Molecule: ribosomal RNA, 490 nt
Filed under: uncultured bacterium
Lineage: Bacteria
Description: partial 16S ribosomal RNA
Rfam family: Bacterial small subunit ribosomal RNA
Source: RNAcentral
AGUGAACGCUGGCGGCAGGCCUAACACAUGCAAGUCGAACGGCAGCACAAGAGAGCUUGCUCUCUGGGUGGCGAGUGGCGGACGGGUGAGGAAUGCAUCGGAAUCUGCCCAUUUGUGGGGGAUAACCUCGGGAAACCGGGACUAAUACCGCAUACGACCUACGGGUGAAAGCAGGGGAUCUUCGGACCUUGCGCAGAUGGAUGAGCCGAUGCCGGAUUAGCUAGUUGGAGGGGUAAGGGCCCACCAAGGCGACGAUCCGUAGCUGGUCUGAGAGGAUGAUCAGCCACACUGGAACUGAGACACGGCCCAGACUCCUACGGGAGGCAGCAGUGGGGAAUAUUGGGCAAUGGGCGCAAGCCUGAUCCAGCCAUGCCGCGUGUGUGAAGAAGGCCUUCGGGUUGUAAAGCACUUUUGUUGGGAAAGAAAAGCAGCCGGUUAAUACCCGGUUGUCAUGACGGUACCCAAAGAAUAAGCACCGGCUAACUUCGUG